RNAcentral lists this long non-coding RNA (4248 nucleotides) under Olea europaea subsp. europaea. Lineage: Eukaryota; Viridiplantae; Streptophyta; Magnoliopsida; Lamiales; Oleaceae. The record is from RNAcentral.
CUUUGUUUGGUCUUCGAAGCAACGGUUGUUCCUUUCUCUCCACACGCACCAAACAAUGCAGCCCGAGAUAAGGUGCCAUGCUAGUUUGCUAUCCUUAUCCCGAAGUUUUCUAUGCCAUGCCCGUAUCACGUCCUCUAUACGACGAAUCAUCACCCAAUCCAUAGAUUGUGAACUGAUUAUAUUGUUCCAAAUCCAACGUACACCAUCACAAUGAAUGAACAAAUGAUCAAUCGUCUCCCCAUCCUUCUUGCACAUAUAACACCACUCGGUUGCAUAAAAGCCUUUACGACGAAGAUUAUCCACCGUUGAGACCUGUUCCCUCACAACUGUCCACAAAAGGAAUGCCACCCGAGGAGGCAAUUUACACUGCCAAACCAACUUCCAUGGGAAUGAAUUAUUCACACAUCCCAUGAGGGAACCAAAGUAUGACCGAACCGAGAAAAUGUCAUCCUGUGCUGUCCUCCACUUGAUGCAAUCCCUCUCUCCAAUCCGAAUUUGGGCCUCAUGUAAAAUGAUCAUAAACAGCGAAUAAUCUUCCAAUUCCCAAUCCUGAAGAUCCCUCCCAAAAGUUAUAUUCCAGCUAUAACUCCCAUUAUGAAUGUCUAAGAGAUCACUCACCAUGGCAGUGGACAUUGAGGCAAUACGAUACAAAGAAGGGAAUCUCUCCUUCAGCGGUUGAUCUCCGCACCAACAAUCAUCCCAAAAUUUAAUCUCAUUACCAUUUCCAACCACAAACUUCAGUUUGUCCAAAAAUGCACUCCAUCCCCGUCGGAUAUACCUCCACAAGCUCACCCCAUAAGAACCACGAUCCUCAAAUGUACACCAUCCCCCAUCGGUCACACCAUACCUCGCCCCAAUUAUUUCUCUCCAGAAACUGUCCCUCUCCACUCCAAAUCGCCACAACCACUUGCCUAAUGAGGCUUUAUUGAACAACACAAGGCUCCUCACCCCAAGACCUCCCAUCCUCAUCGGCAAACAAACAACUCCCUCCUCUCCUCUUCCAACCCUGCCCACAGAAAUUCUCUUUGAAGCCUCUCUAGUCUCUUUGCCACUGCAAUCGAAAUGGGGAACAAUGACAAAAAGUAAGUAGGGAGAUUGGAGAGAGUGGAUUUAAUGAGAGUAAGUCUACCACCCUUAGAAAGGUACAUACGCUUCUACCCUGCUAACCUUCUCUCCAUCCUUUCCACAAUACCAUUCCAGAUAUGGGUACUUUUAAAUCGUGUCCCUAAUGCGAGUCCUAGAUAUGACAUCGGCAACUGCGCAACCUUACAACCUAAUAUAUCAGCCAGCUCCUCGACAUUAUUAACCUCCCUAACUGGAAUAGCCUCAGACUUUCCCAAAUUAAUUUUCAAACCAGACACUGCUUCAAAACAUAAGAGCAGACGGUGCAAGUUCCUGAAUUGUUCUACAUCUGCAUCACAUAAAAUCAACGUGUCAUCUGCAAAUAACAGAUGAGACACUUGCAAUUGAUCAACCAUAAAACCCCUUAUCAAACCCGCUCUCACUGCUCUUUCAAUCAUCCUACUGAGAGCCUCCAUCACAAUGACAAAUAACAAUGGGGAUAAUGGAUCCCCUUGUCUCAAGCCUCUACUGCUUCGAAAAUAACCCUCUGGUGUUUCGUUGACCAAAACUGAGAAUGAAACAGUAGAAAUACAGAAUUGAAUCCAUUUACACCAUUUAUCCCUAAAGCCACAGCGCCUGAGCAUAUAUAACAAGAAACCCCAAUUCACAUGGUCGUAAGCCUUCUGAUAUCUAGCUUACAAAGCAUCCCUGGGGCCCUUAGGCACAUUCUUGAAUCUAUGCAUUCAUUCGCUAUAAGCACAGAGUCCAAAAUCUGACGCAUUUUUACAAAUGCAUUCUGAAACUUGGACACUACUUUUCCCAGUACCUCCUUUAAUUUGUUUGCCAGGACUUUCGAAAUAAUCUUAUACACCCCGCUGACAAGGCUAAUGGGGCGAAAGUCCUUAAUAUCAGUCGCUCCCGGUUUCUUAGGGAUGAGCACAAUAAAUGUGGCAUUAGAACUUCUCUGGAAUCUGCUACGUUCAAAAAAAUAAGAUAAAGUAUUCAAAAUGUCCAGUCGAACCACAUCCCAACACGCUUUGUAGAAUGAGAACGAGAAACCGUCCGGUCCCGGGGCCUUAUCAUCGUUCAUGCUGAAAACGACCUCCUUAAUUUCAUCCUUCCCAAAUGAUCUCUCCAUCCAUCGGGCAUCAUCCUCAUUGAUUGUAGAAAAGUGCAAUCCCUCCAAUUCUUGCCUCCAUUCAAAUUGCUCCUGAUAGAGGUUCUGAUAAAAAUUAACCAGUUGGCUUCCAAUUUCCUAUGGUUCCUCAUAAGUAACCCCGUCUACCUCCAAAGCUGUGAUGGAGUUGUUCCUCCUAUUAGAAUUGGCGACCCUGUGGAAGAAUUUAGUGCAUUUAUCCCCCUCUUUCAACCAAGUAACUCUAGAUUUCUGUCGUCAAUUAAUCUCCUCCAUCUCCACCAACCUCUCCAUCUCUUCCUUUAAUCCUCUAUGUCUCUCAUUCUCCUUCCCAGUCAACCCCUGACUCUCCUUCCGCCUAUCCAAUUCCUCUAUUUCUAACAGACACUGAUUUUUACUGCAGUUAACAUUGCCUACAACUUCCUCAUUCCAUUUCUUUAAGUCCCCUUUCAACGCCUUUAGCUUCUGAUCCAAUACAAAACAGGGAGACCCACUGACUUCAUAGGAAGUCCACCACGUCUGUACUCGCUCCCUAAAACCUUCUACUUUCAACCACAUCUUCUCAAACCUGAAAGGUCUUCUUCCACCACCCCUUCUAUUCCCCGAUAACAUAAUAGGAAAAUGAUCCGAGUAUACCCUCCCCAAUCUUCUCUGAGUGACAUCUGAAUAUUUAGACUCCCACUCCCCACAAAUCAAGAACCUAUCAAUACAAGUCAGAACGGGUUGAUCCCGGUUGGAUGACCAGGUAAAAUCUCCCCCAAUCAUAGGUAAAUCCACCAACAAAUUCUCCCUAAUAAAAUCUGAGAACUCCUCCAUUGCCCUAGUUAGUCUCCCAUCACUCGACCUCUCCGAAGGAAAUCGAAUCACAUUGAAAUCACCCCCAAUACAUGUAGGGAGAUUCCACCAAGCCCUCAUUCCAGCCAGUUCAUCCCACAAACCCACUCUACUGUCAUCAGAAUUAGGCCCAUAAACUCCUGUGAACAUCCACCGAAAUCCAUCCUCACAAUUUUUGAAAGAAAUCGAUAUAGAGAACACCCCUAUACUCACCUCCUUUAUCUCAAGCACUCUAGUGUCCCACAUCACCAACACGCCUCCUGAAAUCCCUGAUGACCCCAAAAACUGAUAUCCAACAUGAUCUCCCCCCCAUAAACUACGAAUCACUGCCCUCGAGAUAAACUCCAUCUUAGUUUCUUGUAGGCAAACAAGAUUUGCAUCCCAUCCCCUUAGCAAAUGACGAACACCAAGCCUUUUACUAACCUCAUUGAGACCUCUUACGUUCCAGCAAAUGAGUUUUGGCAUCAUUGUAACACUCCAUAACCCCUCCCCAUUGUUCCUUUCUUGGACUCGCCAUCCUUACCAGCAUAGUUUACUGACCAUUCGAGCCUCUUAAGCUCACGAUCACCCUUUUUUCUUAAUUUACUUCCAUGUGUACUGAUGUCUUGUCCCCUAUUAGCCUCCAACUCCUUGAAUAAUUGUAGCAAUCUACUUUCAUACCCAUCACAUGACACGCCAACCAACUUACUGAAUUCCUGAAUUUUUUGUAGCACCCAGUUUGAAGGUGGGUGACCAACUUCUAACACAAUAGCUCCUGAAGUAUCCUCACCCUGAUAGCCCUCGAGAUGAUCAAAGGACCGUUCUUUCUCUUCCACCACUGGUAUAAUGUCACUGUCACUUUCUCCUUUCUUGGCACCACCUACCCAUAACACCAAAGCUUUUUCGGUCCCCAUAUCAUUAUCUUUUGUCCUCCUAUUAUAAGUGUUCGUAAUACUUGAUAUCGUCUGUGUAGAGUUGUUUUCUUUCACAGUGUCCAUUGACAAUUUCUCCAAGUUCACCAUACUAAACUCCCCUUCCUUAGACAACGGUUCCUCUUCUCGUUCAACUGCAAUCCCCGUGUCUACUUCAAUUCGGUUGACCCCCACAAAGUCAACCCCGUCAUCGUUUUCAUGGUAUCCCGCUUCCAUCCUCACCUGAGAAUCACAAUGUUCAUCUCCUCCCUGCUUUGCAUGUUCUGUAAUUGAUGGUAGUUCCUCAUGAGUCAAUCCCGGUACUUG